Molecule: ribosomal RNA, 396 nt
Filed under: uncultured bacterium
Lineage: Bacteria
Description: bacterial SSU rRNA
Rfam family: Bacterial small subunit ribosomal RNA
Source: RNAcentral
AUUGAACGCUGGCGGCAUGCCUUACACAUGCAAGUCGAACGGUGAACCAGAGCUUGCUCUGGGAAUCAGUGGCGAACGGGUGAGUAACACGUGGGCAACCUGCCCCAGACUCUGGGAUAACUUCGGGAAACCGAAGCUAAUACCGGAUAUGACCACUUCGGACAUCCGACGGUGGUGGAAAGUUUUUCGGUCUGGGGAUGGGCCCGNGGCCUAUCAGCUAGUUGGUGGGGUAAAUGGCCUACCAAGGCGACGACGGGUAGCCGGCCUGAGAGGGCGACCGGCCACACUGGAACUGAGACACGGCCCAGACUCCUACGGGAGGCCAGCCAGUGGGGGAAUUUUGGACAAUGGGCGCAAGCCUGAUCCAGCAAUGCCGCGUGCAGGAAGAAGGCCUUC